CUUGGUCAUUUAGAGGAAGUAAAAGUCGUAACAAGGUCUCCGUAGGUGAACCUGCGGAGGGAUCAUUACACAAAUAUGAAGGCGGGCUGGAACCUCUCGGGGUUACAGCCUUGCUGAAUUAUUCACCCUUGUCUUUUGCGUACUUCUUGUUUCCUUGGUGGGUUCGCCCACCACUAGGACAAACAUAAACCUUUUGUAAUUGCAAUCAGCGUCAGUAACAAAUUAAUAAUUACAACUUUCAACAACGGAUCUCUUGGUUCUGGCAUCGAUGAAGAACGCAGCGAAAUGCGAUAAGUAGUGUGAAUUGCAGAAUUCAGUGAAUCAUCGAAUCUUUGAACGCACAUUGCGCCCUUUGGUAUUCCAAAGGGCAUGCCUGUUCGAGCGUCAUUUGUACCCUCAAGCUUUGCUUGGUGUUGGGCGUCUUGUCUCUAGCUUUGCUGGAGACUCGCCUUAAAGUAAUUGGCAGCCGGCCUACUGGUUUCGGAGCGCAGCACAAGUCGCACUCUCUAUCAGCAAAGGUCUAGCAUCCAUUAAGCCUUUUUUUCAACUUUUGACCUCGGAUCAGGUAGGGAUACCCGCUGAACUUAAGCAUAUCAAUAACG
This 602-nucleotide ribosomal RNA is filed under the name fungal sp. MG181Nc4L9x. RNAcentral describes it as "eukaryotic LSU rRNA". The stretch from base 234 to 387 matches the Rfam family "5.8S ribosomal RNA". The record is from RNAcentral. Lineage: Eukaryota; Fungi.